This is a long non-coding RNA of Gallus gallus (chicken), 828 nucleotides long. The record is from Ensembl. Lineage: Eukaryota; Metazoa; Chordata; Aves; Galliformes; Phasianidae.
GAUAAAUCAGACCCAGUUAAUUAGUGGUGCUGCUUUUGAAGCAGGACAAGCAACAGAGUCUUGCAGUUGGGAAAUCUGGUUAACAUGGUCAGCUGAGUUUAAGAUGUGAUUAAUCUGACCAAAUGCAGUGAAAAACAGCUCAUCUCCAUCACAAAAGGCCACUUUAAUUGCCAGUGCUGACUGUGGCCAAGGAAGGAAUGGAGAUUCCAUGAGAGAAGGGUUUUCCCUACGGUAAAUACUGUCCCCUUGCUAGGUAGCUGAUUAAAAUAGGAGAAUAAGCCAGAAACCCCGCAGUCUGCUGUGUAUCAUCAGAGGAAAAGGCAAGAACAUGGCAGACGGCUGCAAAAGUGUUUUCUCCCUGGAAAACAGUCACUGCUUCUCCUGCAGUAUGCUUAGCCAGCAGCGGCCAAGAGCCAGAGCUGCCUGCUGCCCAUUCCUUCCCCUGAGCAACCUUUUUGGCUCUCAGAAAUGAAAAAAGCAAAGUAAAACCAACUGAACCCCUUGGCUGUCUUGGAAAUUGAAAUGAUGAGUUCCUCUCUGUGACAUGCUUGUUCCAAGCUGCAGAUUGUGCACGUGUGAUUGGUGGUAUCAUCAUUCUCAGCUUAAAGACUGCACACAUUUUACAGCAGGGGAAGAAGACUUUGGCAAGAUGAAGUUUGGCCAUACAGAGGAAAAAAAGAGCAGACUGUGCCAAAGCAUAAACAGAAUGGUGGAAUUUCCCAGCAUUUUUCAUGGGCUACUGGUUAGACCAAGAGCUGAAUGUCUGAAUUAAAUUUUAUAAUACUGUCCACUCCCCAAGUGGACACAUAUCGAGUGUAUAAUCCGGAU